GAUGAAGAACGUAGUGAAAUGCGAUAAGUAAUGUGAAUUGCAGAAUUCCGUGAAUCAUCGAAUCUUUGAACGCACAUUGCGCCCCCUCGCAUUCCGGGGGGCAUGCCUGUCCGAGCGUCAUUUCUGCCCUCAAGCACGGCUUGUGUGUUGGGUGUGGUCCCCCCGGGGACCUGCCCGAAAGGCAGCGGCGACGUCCGUCUGGUCCUCGAGCGUAUGGGGCUUUGUCACUCGCUCGGGAAGGACCUGCGGGGGUUGGUCACCACCAUAUUUUACCACGGUUGACCUCGGAUCAGGUAGGAGUUACCCGCUGAACUUAAGCAUAUCAAUAAGCGGAGGA
This 337-nucleotide unclassified non-coding RNA is filed under the name soil metagenome. RNAcentral describes it as "partial contains 5.8S ribosomal RNA, internal transcribed spacer 2, and large subunit ribosomal RNA". The stretch from base 1 to 120 matches the Rfam family "5.8S ribosomal RNA", at positions 35 to 154 of the family's 154-position model. The record is from RNAcentral.